Long non-coding RNA from Brassica napus (rape), 2372 nucleotides. RefSeq lists it as uncharacterized. The transcript is spliced from 2 exons. NCBI's taxonomy places the organism in Eukaryota, Viridiplantae, Streptophyta, Magnoliopsida, Brassicales, Brassicaceae. The record is from RefSeq and is a predicted model, not a curated record.
CAUUUAAGUAGCUAAUUCCAAUUGUAUUCUCUUUUCUUGAUUGGGUUUGAUGCGUAGGUUGGAGAAUUGGCCGGUAUAGCUGUUGGAGCAACUGUCAUGCUCAACAAUCUUGUCGCAGGGCCAUCGAGUGGUGCAUCUAUGAAUCCCGUUAGGACUCUAGGACCAGCCCUUGCAUCAGGAAACUAUAGGUCACUUUGGGUUUAUCUGGUAGCUCCUACACUUGGUGCCAUAUCUGGAGCAGCCGUCUACACAGGUGUCAAGCUUAAUGAUAACGUGUCGGAUCCCCCACGCCAGGUUAGAAGCUUCCGUCGUUAAGUGAGAGACUUGUCCACAAGUCUUCUGCUUGUUACUGUUACUAUAUAAUUUAUAAUAAUGUAAUGAUAUGAAAAGCUUUGGAAGCUUGUGUAAAGAAUUAAAGACGGUAAAAAAAAAAAAAGAAUAAAAGGCGAUGUGACUACAAGUCCACGCUCUAUGUGUGCAUAGCAUCGGUUUGUCAAUCCGAUGCGAACUCGUCUCGUCAUUGUUAAUUUGUGUCUUGUGUGAUAAUACACUUUGUUUGGUGUGGGUUUCUCUAUUGGUUUGAUGUUGUAUGAUUAUUGAAAAGUUUUUAGAGUAUCAGCAACCCUGAUUCUUAACCAAAAAUCUUUAAAAUUAAAUUAUUAUAAUAAUUUAUGGGACCCAAACAAUUUAAAAAUAUGUGCCAAUUUUGUCUUUUGCAAUUUCUAGCUAAGGACCGUUUUAGUGACAGACACAUUACUGUGCGCGGAUCCCAUCGUCAUAUGAAAAUUCACGAUUGGCUAUUUUUUUUUUAAAAGCUGAAAAAAUAAUAAAAUAAUUAAAAAAAAUUAUCUGGGUUAUCGAGCCAUCAGUAUCGGCGUUGCUGAUGCUCUUAUGGUGGGGUUCUUGGAGGAAUAUAAGAAUCCGUCUCUUAACUUUUAACUAAAAAAGCUAAGAACUGGUUUUUAAAUAAGAGUUUUAAGAGUCGGUUCUUAAUUUUUUUAGUUAAAAGUUAAAAGAAAGGUUAUUAUAUUCCGUUAAGAACUUCGCUAUAAGAACCCCCAGUAAUGUUGUCAGAUAUUUUGCAAAGUAUCGAUCUAGACGCAAAUGCGUGAAUGAAAACUAAGAAUAUUUUGGGAAUUUGUGAGAAUAUAGUACAUCGAAAGUUUAAUUAGGAUAUAAAUACUACUCUCUCUGUUUCAUAUUGUAGGUAGUUUUAGAGAAAUGUUUUUGUUUCAAAAUUUAAGUAGUUUUCGUAGUUCUAUGUAACUUUUACAUUUAUUGAAUACAGUGUUACCAAUCAAAUUAAAUAGACUUAUUUUUUAUUGGUUAAAUUAUAUCUAACCUAUUUAUUAUAAAAUACUUUUUAAAAACAUAAUAAUUUUCUUAAUCUUCGCGAUUUUAGUCAAAACUACUUAUAUUACGAAACGGAGGGAGUAUAUAAAAGGUUAAAUCAUUCUAUUUAUCAACUAUUUGUGGGUUCUCUUCUUCCCCUAUUAACACUUUCAGAUCUUUCAGAGAGGGAAGAGAUUCGAGGUUUCCUUUUGUUUUGUUGUAUGAUAUUCGAUCGUCGAUCGUCUCUUCCGCUUAGUCGGAUUUUGUUAUUUCCCUUGGCGAUUUUAGUGUUUUCGUAAGGCGAUUUUGCAGUGUGUCUCAAGCCAAAUUCGAGUAUGUUCUUAAUGUUUUCUUCUUAUACUCGUUUUGGUCUUGAUGUAAUAAAGUUCCGGUCUUGUUUAGAUCGGAUUAAUCAUGCUUUUCACUCCGACUUCACUUUAAUCCCGUCGGAGUCCGACUUGGAUUCCUUCUUUCACUGUGCUCUAACCGCUUUCUAGGAGAAUCAGUCUUUGCUUUUAUUCAGCCAUUCGGUGUUGAGGUGAAGCAUCUCCGAUUGAAAGAAGAUUGGAGUAGUUGGAUUCUUUAAGUCGGCUUUGGAGUAGAUUCAGUAGAACUGGCGUUCUUGGAGCGGUCCGGUAAAUGAUCUUUCUUCCUCUUUGACUUAAGCAUCUUUGCGUUUAACUUCUGGUGAAUCAAGGUUUUUCUGUUUGGGCUUUCACGGAGUUGGUGGAAAGCAACCGCUGUUUCCGGUGAAGCUUGAAAAUUCGGCGCUGGUAGCUGUGCAGUCGUGCAUGAGAUCCCUGUCUCGCGAUGUUACACUUGGUAACACGUGUCUUCCACGCAUUGAGAAAGCGAGGGUUUUUUAGAAGUUAAUCUGAUCUGUAAAUUUGGAUUGGGUUAAUAUGGGCUUAAAUUGUAAACGUAAUGGGAUUGGGCUUUUUCUAAGUUUCACCUUGUAACAGCCAUAAGGCCUUUCAUUUUAAUGAAAGAAAGUUCACAAAAAAAAAAAAUCAUUCUAUUUAUCACCGGUUAAUUUUAAA